GACGAACGCUGGCGGCGUGCUUAACACAUGCAAGUCGAACGGAAAGGCCCUGCUCUUGCGGGGUGCUCGAGUGGCGAACGGGUGAGUAACACGUGAGUAACCUGCCCUUGACUUUGGGAUAACUUCAGGAAACUGGGGCUAAUACCGGAUAGGAGCUCCUGCUGCAUGGUGGGGGUUGGAAAGUUUCGGCGGUUGGGGCUGGACUCGCAGCUUAUCAGCUUGUUGGUGAGGUAGUGGCUUACCAAGGCUUCGACGGAUAGCCGGCCUGAGAGGGUGACCGGCCCCAUGAAGACUACGCUAGGGCGCAGUCUGCUACGGUAGGCAACAGUGGGGAGUAUUGCACAGUAAGCGGAAGCCUGAUGCAACGGCGCCGCGUGCGGAAUGCCGGCCUUCGAGUGGUGAACCGAUUUCGCCUGUGACGAAGCGUGAGUGACGGUAAUGGAUAAAAAAGCACCGGCUAACUACGUG
RNAcentral lists this ribosomal RNA (468 nucleotides) under uncultured bacterium. RNAcentral describes it as "partial 16S ribosomal RNA". It matches the Rfam family "Bacterial small subunit ribosomal RNA", at positions 28 to 507 of the family's 1533-position model. The record is from RNAcentral.